This 253-nucleotide ribosomal RNA is filed under the name uncultured bacterium. Its description in RNAcentral is "partial 16S ribosomal RNA". It matches the Rfam family "Bacterial small subunit ribosomal RNA", at positions 524 to 776 of the family's 1533-position model. The record is from RNAcentral.
UACAGAGGGGGCAAGCGUUAUUCGGAAUUAUUGGGCGUAAAGGGCGCGUAGGCGGCUUGGCAAGUGGAAGGUGAAAUCCCUCGGCUUAACCGAGGAACUGCCCUCCAAACUGCUUGGCUUGAGUCCGGGAGAGGUGAGUGGAAUUCCCAGUGUAGCGGUGAAAUGCGUAGAUAUUGGGAGGAACACCAGUGGCGAAGGCGGCUCACUGGACCGGAACUGACGCUGAGGUGCGAAAGCGUGGGGAGCAAACAGG